GAUGAACGCUGGCGGCGUGCCUAAUACAUGCAAGUCGAGCGAACAGACGAGGAGCUUGCUCCUCUGACGUUAGCGGCGGACGGGUGAGUCACACGUGGAUAACCUACCUAUCAGACUGGGAUAACUUCGGGAAACCGGAGCUACUACCGGAUAAUAUAUUGCACCGCAUUGUUCAAUAGUUAGAUACGCUUUUUGUUUCACUUAUAGCCUGAUCAGCGCCGCAUUCACUAGUUGGUUAGGUAACGGCUUACCAAGGCAACGACGCGUACCCGACCUGAACGGGUGGUCGGACACACUGGAACAGAGACACGGUCCAGACACCGACGGUGGGAAGCAGUAGGGAAUCUUCCGCAAGGGACGAGAGCCUAACGGAGCAACGCCGCGGAAGUGAUGAAGGUCUUCGGAUCGUAAAACUCUGUUAUUAGGGAAGAACAAAUGUGUAAGUAACUAUGCACGUCUUGACGGUACCUAAUCAGAAAGCCACGGCUAACUACGUG
This 497-nucleotide ribosomal RNA is filed under the name uncultured bacterium. RNAcentral's name for it is "partial 16S ribosomal RNA". It matches the Rfam family "Bacterial small subunit ribosomal RNA", at positions 28 to 507 of the family's 1533-position model. The record is from RNAcentral.